RNAcentral lists this unclassified non-coding RNA (359 nucleotides) under Acromyrmex echinatior (Panamanian leafcutter ant). RNAcentral describes it as "uncharacterized LOC105149469, transcript variant X2". The record is from RNAcentral. Lineage: Eukaryota; Metazoa; Arthropoda; Insecta; Hymenoptera; Formicidae.
AGGAACGCACUCCGAUGGCGGAACAUGGCGGAUUGAUCUCGCUUCACUUUGUGGAGUAUUUGUUUGUACAACCGUAUUAAGAAUUGUUCGUAAUGUGCGGACGAGCAGGUCCAAACUAAACCAAGUGAUCGUAGACGUUGAAAGUUUAAGGUUCGUAGUAAAAGCGACCAAAGCUCAACGCGCCCAUCAGGCCCAUAAAAGCUCUCUGUCUCCGCGUCUAAAGCCCUUGCGUGGGUAACGAGCUGGGCGCUGGGCCAGGCCGCGCAGCGCCAGACCGUGUUGCUCUGGCAUCUCUCACGGCCACCUAUACCGACUCGGAGGGCGAGGACGGGGUGGAAGACGAGCGCCUGCAGGAGGAG